AGAGUUGAUCCUGGCUCAGGAUGAACGCUAGCUACAGGCUUAACACAUGCAAGUCGAGGGGCAUCAUGGAGUUGCUUGCAAACUCUGAUGGCGACCGGCGCACGGGUGAGUAACGCGUAUCCAACCUUCCCUAUAGUAGAGGAUAGCCCGGCGAAAGUCGGAUUAAUACUCUAUGUUUUCCGUUGCAGACAUCUAAGAUGGAACAAAGGCUUGCCGCUAUAGGAUGGGGGAUGCGUCUGAUUAGGUAGUCGGCGGGGUAACGGCCCACCGAGCCAUCGAUCAGUAGGGGUUCUGAGAGGAAGGUCCCCCACAUUGGAACUGAGACACGGUCCAAACUCCUACGGGAGGCAGCAGUGAGGAAUAUUGGUCAAUGGGCGAGAGCCUGAACCAGCCAAGUAGCCGUGCAGGACGACGGCCCUAUGGGUUGUAAACUGCUUUUAUGCGGGGAUAAAGUUCACUACGUGUAGUGUUUUGUAGGUACCGCAUGAAUAAGGACCGGCUAAUUCCGUGCCAGCCGCCGC
This 521-nucleotide ribosomal RNA is filed under the name uncultured bacterium. Its description in RNAcentral is "bacterial SSU rRNA". It matches the Rfam family "Bacterial small subunit ribosomal RNA", at positions 8 to 518 of the family's 1533-position model. The record is from RNAcentral.